Molecule: long non-coding RNA, 213 nt
Filed under: Oryza brachyantha (malo sina)
Lineage: Eukaryota; Viridiplantae; Streptophyta; Magnoliopsida; Poales; Poaceae
Description: long non-coding RNA (OBRA_LNC002155)
Source: RNAcentral
UCGGCGGUCAAGAAAUAUUGGAGUUUGACUUUGGAAAAUUUUAGUUUCUUUUUUUUGUUUUUUUUUUAAUUUUAGUGUUGUUUGGUCUCAACCUCUUAUACCAAGUAGUACAAAAAUGAGAGGUGUUGUUGUGUAGAAAUACCUAACAUGAAAAACUUCUUACCGUACAUAGAGGAAUAUUAUUAUUUAUUGAUUCAUUGACACAAGAGGAAG